GAUGAAGAACGUAGCGAAAUGCGAUAAGUAAUGUGAAUUGCAGAAUUCAGUGAAUCAUCGAAUCUUUGAACGCACAUUGCGCCCGCCAGUAUUCUGGCGGGCAUGCCUGUCUGAGCGUCAUUUCAACCCUCAUGCCCCUAGGGCGUGGUGUUGGGGAUCGGCCAAAGCCCGCGAGGGACGGCCGGCCCCUAAAUCUAGUGGCGGACCCGUCGUGGCCUCCUCUGCGAAGUAGUGAUAUUCCGCAUCGGAGAGCGAUGAGCCCCUGCCGUUAAACCCCCAACUUUCCAAGGUUGACCUCCGAUCAGGUAGGAAUACCCGCUGAACUUAAGCAUAUCAAUAAGCGGAGGA
This 348-nucleotide unclassified non-coding RNA is filed under the name soil metagenome. RNAcentral describes it as "partial contains 5.8S ribosomal RNA, internal transcribed spacer 2, and large subunit ribosomal RNA". The stretch from base 1 to 120 matches the Rfam family "5.8S ribosomal RNA", at positions 35 to 154 of the family's 154-position model. The record is from RNAcentral.